ACUGAAUCUCCGCCCACUCUCUGCCUGAUCGCUGCCGAGUGAAAGAGAUCUUUGGUUUUGCCUUUGCUGACUGCUGAUGUGAUCGUCUCAAGUCUGGUGACCUGCUGCAGAAAACCCUCUCCCUCUAUCAUUAUCAAGCAAUUCUGUCUAUCCUAUCACUCUCCCAACUCUAUCUAAUUUGACAGCCAUUCCAUCUUGUAUCCCUCUAUCUCUACUGCUCUAUCUAAUUUGACAGCCAUUCUAUCUUGUAUCAAUCUAUCCCAAGCACUCUAUCUAAUUUGACAGCCAUUCUAUCUUGUAUCAAUCUAUCCCAAGGACUCUAUCUCGUUUUCAGAAAUCCCAGUUUUCAGAAAUCCCAGUCUUCAGAAAUCUAAGUCUUCAGAAAUCCCAGUUUUCAGAAAUCCCAGUUUCAGAAAUCCAGUUUUGAAAAAUCCAAGUUUUGAAAAAUCCAAGUUUUGAAAAUCCAAGUUUUGAGAAAUCCAAGUUUUUGGCAAUUGAAGUUACCAGAACUUUGUCAAUCUGUAUUCAGAAUUCUGAGAGAUCUCUGCUCUCACUGCUCCUCCUUUCCUGUCAUUAAACUCUCUCUCCAUUCAUUUUGCUGGAAAAUAACAAUUAGAAAGUUGAAUAUACAGUAGUAGAAUUGCAGUACAGUAGAACUUAUGGUAGAAACUACUUAUACAGCCCUACAUUUGUAGUUUUAACUUGGCAUUACACUUUGAAAUAAACACUGAUAGUUUGGCUUACAAGUGCAAUUUGAUAAAUUAUAUAAACUUAUAUACAUCUUUUUUGAGAUAUAUUUGUAGUAAGAUAAUCUGGUUAUUUUGUAAUUCAGACUGUUAUAUUCACAUAAAUAUUAAAUUUGAUUCAAAUACA
This is a long non-coding RNA of Oreochromis niloticus (Nile tilapia), 873 nucleotides long. RefSeq lists it as uncharacterized. NCBI's taxonomy places the organism in Eukaryota, Metazoa, Chordata, Actinopteri, Cichliformes, Cichlidae. The transcript has 4 exons. The record is from RefSeq and is a predicted model, not a curated record.